AGUGAACGCUGGCGGUAGGCCUAACACAUGCAAGUCGAACGGCAGCACAGUAAGAGCUUGCUCUUACGGGUGGCGAGUGGCGGACGGGUGAGGAAUACAUCGGAAUCUACUUUUUCGUGGGGGAUAACGUAGGGAAACUUACGCUAAUACCGCAUACGACCUACGGGUGAAAGCAGGGGAUCUUCGGACCUUGCGCGAUUGAAUGAGCCGAUGUCGGAUUAGCUAGUUGGCGGGGUAAAGGCCCACCAAGGCGACGCUCCGUAGCUGGUCUGAGAGGAUGAUCAGCCACACUGGAACUGAGACACGGUCCAGACUCCUACGGGAGGCAGCAGUGGGGAAUUUUGGACAAUGGGCGCAAGCCUGAUCCAGCCAUACCGCGUGGGUGAAGAAGGCCCUCGGGUUGUAAAGCACUUUUGGUGGGAAAGAAAAGCAGCAGGUUAAUACCCCGCUGUUCUGACGGUACCCAAAGAAUAAGCACCGGCUAACUUCGUG
This 492-nucleotide ribosomal RNA is filed under the name uncultured bacterium. Its description in RNAcentral is "partial 16S ribosomal RNA". It matches the Rfam family "Bacterial small subunit ribosomal RNA", at positions 29 to 507 of the family's 1533-position model. The record is from RNAcentral.